AUUGAACGCUGGCGGCAUGCCUUACACAUGCAAGUCGAACGGUAACAGGUCUUCGGAUGCUGACGAGUGGCGAACGGGUGAGUAAUACAUCGGAACGUGCCUAGUAGUGGGGGAUAACUACUCGAAAGAGUGGCUAAUACCGCAUGAGGUCUACGGAUGAAAACAGGGGAUCGCAAGACCUUGUGCUACUAGAGCGGCCGAUGGCAGAUUAGGGAGUUGGUGGGAUAAAAGCUUACCAAGCCGACGAUCUGUAGCUGGUCUGAGAGGACGAUCAGCCACACUGGGACUGAGACACGGCCCAGACUCCUACGGGAGGCAGCAGUGGGGAAUUUUGGACAAUGGGCGAAAGCCUGAUCCAGCAAUGCCGCGUGCAGGAUGAAGGCCUUCGGGUUGUAAACUGCUUUUGUACGGAACGAAAAGCCCCGGGUUAAUACCCUGGGGUCAUGACGGUACCGUAAGAAUAAGCACCGGCUAACUACGUGCCAGCAGCCGCAGUAA
This 498-nucleotide ribosomal RNA is filed under the name uncultured bacterium. Its description in RNAcentral is "partial 16S ribosomal RNA". It matches the Rfam family "Bacterial small subunit ribosomal RNA", at positions 30 to 523 of the family's 1533-position model. The record is from RNAcentral.